RNAcentral lists this transfer RNA (66 nucleotides) under Cryptonatica andoi. RNAcentral's name for it is "tRNA-Glu". Lineage: Eukaryota; Metazoa; Mollusca; Gastropoda; Littorinimorpha; Naticidae. RNAcentral also lists the same sequence under 1 other name. The record is from RNAcentral.
GUUUCUAGGGUGUCUCCGCACGUUAGAUUUUCGUUCUAAAGGGAUAAAAUUAUAUUAUUAGAAAUA